UACGAAGGGGGCUAGCGUUGCUCGGAAUCACUGGGCGUAAAGAGCGUGUAGGCGGCCUGAUAAGUCGGCUGUGAAAGUCAAGGGCUCAACCCUUGAAUGCCGGCCGAUACUGUCAGGCUAGAGUCCGGAAGAGGCGAGUGGAAUUCCUGGUGUAGCGGUGAAAUGCGCAGAUAUCAGGAGGAACACCUAUGGCGAAGGCAGCUCGCUGGGACGGUACUGACGCUGAGACGCGAAAGCGUGGGGAGCGAACAGG
Molecule: ribosomal RNA, 253 nt
Filed under: uncultured bacterium
Lineage: Bacteria
Description: partial 16S ribosomal RNA
Rfam family: Bacterial small subunit ribosomal RNA
Source: RNAcentral